UGGCAAAACCCAGAGGAACAAUGGAA
Molecule: non-coding RNA, 26 nt
Filed under: Homo sapiens (human)
Lineage: Eukaryota; Metazoa; Chordata; Mammalia; Primates; Hominidae
Source: RNAcentral